Molecule: long non-coding RNA, 317 nt
Organism: Oncorhynchus tshawytscha (Chinook salmon)
Lineage: Eukaryota; Metazoa; Chordata; Actinopteri; Salmoniformes; Salmonidae
Source: Ensembl
CUCUGGUCUAUAGUAGUACCACUAUAUAGGGAAUAGGGCUCUGGUCUAAAGUAGUUGCACUAUAUAGGGAAUAGGGCUCUGGUCUAUAGUAGUACCACUAUAUAGGGAAUAGGGCUCUGGUCUAUAGUAUACCACUAUAUAGGGAAUAGGGCUCUGGUCUAUAGUAGUACCACUAUAUAGGGAAUAGGGCUCUGGUCUAUAGUAGUGCACUAUAUAGGGCUCUGGUCUAAAGUAGUGUACUAUAUAGGGCCAUGGUCUAAAGUAGUGUACUAUAUAGGGCCCUGGUCUAAAGUAGUGCACUAUAUAGGGAAUAGGGC